This 253-nucleotide ribosomal RNA is filed under the name uncultured bacterium. RNAcentral describes it as "partial 16S ribosomal RNA". It matches the Rfam family "Bacterial small subunit ribosomal RNA", at positions 524 to 776 of the family's 1533-position model. The record is from RNAcentral.
UACGGGGGGGGCAAGCGUUGUUCGGAAUUACUGGGCGUAAAGGGUUCGUAGGUGGCGUGCUAAGUCAGACGUGAAAUCCCUCAGCUUAACUGGGGAACUGCGUCUGAGACUGGCAGGCUCGAGUGCAGGAGAGGAACGCGGAAUUCCAGGUGUAGCGGUGAAAUGCGUAGAUAUCUGGAGGAACACCGGUGGCGAAGGCGGCAUCCUGGACCAACACUGACACUGAGGAGCGAAAGCCAGGGGAGCAAACGGG